RNAcentral lists this ribosomal RNA (385 nucleotides) under uncultured bacterium. RNAcentral describes it as "bacterial SSU rRNA". It matches the Rfam family "Bacterial small subunit ribosomal RNA", at positions 28 to 416 of the family's 1533-position model. The record is from RNAcentral.
GACGAACGCUGGCGGCGUGCUUAACACAUGCAAGUCGAGCGGUAAGGCCCUUUCGGGGGUACACGAGCGGCGAACGGGUGAGUAACACGUGGGUGACCUGCCCUCAGCUCUGGGAUAAGCCUGGGAAACUGGGUCUAAUACCGGAUAUGACCUCAUGUCGCAUGGUGUGGGGUGGAAAGUUUUUCGGCUAGAGAUGGGCCCGCGGCCUAUCAGCUUGUUGGUGGGGUGAUGGCCUACCAAGGCGACGACGGGUAGCCGGCCUGAGAGGGCGACCGGCCACACUGGGACUGAGACACGGCCCAGACUCCUACGGGAGGCAGCAGUGGGGAAUCUUGCGCAAUGGGCGAAAGCCUGACGCAGCGACGCCGCGUGAGGGAUGACGGCC